AUUGAACGCUGGCGGCAUGCUCUACACAUGCAAGUCGAACGGUAACAGGCCGCAAGGUGCUGACGAGUGGCGAACGGGUGAGUAAUGCAUCGGAACGUGCCCAGUCGUGGGGGAUAACUACUCGAAAGAGUAGCUAAUACCGCAUACGAUCUAUGGAUGAAAGCGGGGGACCGUAAGGCCUCGCGCGAUUGGAGCGGGCGAUGUCAGAUUAGGUAGUUGGUGGGGUAAAGGCUCACCAAGCCAACGAGCUGUAGCUGGUCUGAGAGGACGACUCGCCAGACUGGGACUGAGACACGGCCCAGACUCCUACGGGAGGCAGCAGUGGGGAAUUUUGGACAAUGGGCGCAAGCCUGAUCCAGCAAUGCCGCGUGCAGGAAGAAGGCCUUCGGGUUGUAAACUGCUUUUGUACGGAACGAAACGGCUCUGGUUAAUACCCGGGGCUAAUGACGGUACCGUAAGAAUAAGCACCGGCUAACUACGUG
RNAcentral lists this ribosomal RNA (482 nucleotides) under uncultured bacterium. RNAcentral's name for it is "partial 16S ribosomal RNA". It matches the Rfam family "Bacterial small subunit ribosomal RNA", at positions 30 to 507 of the family's 1533-position model. The record is from RNAcentral.